This is a non-coding RNA of Pangasius djambal, 72 nucleotides long. The record is from the annotation of a GenBank genome assembly. Lineage: Eukaryota; Metazoa; Chordata; Actinopteri; Siluriformes; Pangasiidae.
GUAGUGGGGCAGUGGUUAAGGCUCUGGGUUAUUGAUCAGAAGGUCCAGGGUUCAAGCCCCAGCACCACCACA